This 411-nucleotide ribosomal RNA is filed under the name uncultured bacterium. RNAcentral's name for it is "bacterial SSU rRNA". It matches the Rfam family "Bacterial small subunit ribosomal RNA", at positions 64 to 507 of the family's 1533-position model. The record is from RNAcentral.
GAACGAGAAAGUGGAGCAAUCCAUGAGUAAAGUGGCGACCGGGUGAGUAACACGUGACUAACCUGCCCUUGAGUGGGGGAUAACCUCGGGAAACCGGGGCUAAUACCGCAUAACAUCGCAAGAUCAAAGGAGCAAUCCGCUGAAGGAGGGGGUCGCGGCUGAUUAGUUAGUUGGUGAGGUAACGGCUCACCAAGACGAAGAUCAGUAGCCGGCCUGAGAGGGCGCACGGCCACACUGGAACUGAAACACGGUCCAGACUCCUACGGGAGGCAGCAGUGGGGAAUUUUGCGCAAUGGGGGAAACCCUGACGCAGCAACGCCGCGUGGAGGAUGAAGUCCCUUGGGAUGUAAACUCCUUUCGAUCGGGACGAUUAUGACGGUACCGGAAGAAGAAGCACCGGCUAACUCUGUG